Long non-coding RNA from Octopus sinensis (East Asian common octopus), 123 nucleotides. RefSeq lists it as uncharacterized. Lineage: Eukaryota; Metazoa; Mollusca; Cephalopoda; Octopoda; Octopodidae. The record is from RefSeq and is a predicted model, not a curated record. The transcript is spliced from 3 exons.
UGUGCUCUUCCGAUGUGUGGGGUCGCGGUCGUCGUCGCGCACCGCGACGCGCGGCUGGCGUUCGGCCGGCGGCGAACGGUCGACUCGGAACUGGUACGGACCGGGGGAAUCCGACUGUCUAAU